UACGUAGGUGGCGAGCGUUGUCCGGAAUUACUGGGUGUAAAGGGUGCGUAGGCGGGCAGGCAAGUUGGAUGUGAAAUACCGGGGCUUAACUCCGGGGCUGCAUCCAAAACUGCAGGUCUUGAGUGAAGUAGAGGCAAGCGGAAUUCCCAGUGUAGCGGUGAAAUGCGUAGAGAUUGGGAGGAACACCAGUGGCGAAGGCGGCUUGCUGGGCUUUAACUGACGCUGAGGCACGAAAGCAUGGGGAGCGAACAGGAUUAGAUACC
Molecule: ribosomal RNA, 263 nt
Filed under: uncultured bacterium
Lineage: Bacteria
Description: partial 16S ribosomal RNA
Rfam family: Bacterial small subunit ribosomal RNA
Source: RNAcentral